This 253-nucleotide ribosomal RNA is filed under the name uncultured bacterium. RNAcentral's name for it is "partial 16S ribosomal RNA". It matches the Rfam family "Bacterial small subunit ribosomal RNA", at positions 524 to 776 of the family's 1533-position model. The record is from RNAcentral.
UACGUAGGGACCGAGCGUUGUCCGGAUUCAUUGGGCGUAAAGAGCUCGUAUGCGGCUGCUCAAGUCGAAUGUGAAAACUCGAGGCUCAACCUCGAGCCUGCAUUCGAUACUGGGCGGCUAGAGUCUGGUAGGGGGAUCUGGAAUUCCUGGUGUAGCGGUGAAAUGCGCAGAUAUCAGGAAGAAUAUCCGUGGCGAAGGCGGCUCUCUGGUACGGCACUGACGCUGAGACGCGAAAGCGUGGGGAGCGAACAGG